UCCCUGGUGGUCUAGUGGUUAAGAAUCCAUCUUGGAAUGCAGGGGACGUAGGUUCAAUCCCUGGCCAGGGAA
Molecule: non-coding RNA, 72 nt
Organism: Bos taurus (domestic cattle)
Lineage: Eukaryota; Metazoa; Chordata; Mammalia; Artiodactyla; Bovidae
Source: Rfam